AACGAACGCUGGCGGCAUGCCUAACACAUGCAAGUCGAACGAGAUCUUCGUAUCUAGUGGCGCUCGGGUGCGUAACGCGUGGGAAUCUGCCCCUGGCUUCGGAAUACCAGUGAUUAAUUACUGCUAAUACCGGAUGAUCUCUUCGGACCAAAGAUUUAUCGGCAAGGGAUGAGCCCGAGUAGGAUUAGGUAGUUGGUGGGGUAAUGGCCUACCAAGCCGACGAUCCUUAGCUGGUCGGAGAGGAUGAUCAGCCACACUGGGACUGAGACACGGCCCAGAAUCCUACGGGAGGGAGCAGUGGGGAAUAUUGGACAAUGGGCGAAGGCCUGAUCCAGCCAUGCCGCGUGAGUGAUGAAGGCCGUAGGGUUGUAAAGCUCUUUUACCAGGGAUGAUAAUGACAGUACCUGGAGAAUAAGCUCCGGCUAACUCCGUG
Molecule: ribosomal RNA, 433 nt
Filed under: uncultured bacterium
Lineage: Bacteria
Description: partial 16S ribosomal RNA
Rfam family: Bacterial small subunit ribosomal RNA
Source: RNAcentral